RNAcentral lists this long non-coding RNA (679 nucleotides) under Eutrema salsugineum. Its description in RNAcentral is "long non-coding RNA (ESAL_LNC000112)". The record is from RNAcentral. Lineage: Eukaryota; Viridiplantae; Streptophyta; Magnoliopsida; Brassicales; Brassicaceae.
AAUAUUAUUAUAUUCUGGUGAACCCUCUCUUAGGGGUUCACUGAUAUACAUGCUCUAAGGGCCCAAACGUUACAAAAUUAGACAUGCAUACAAACACGUGGAACACUCUACUUAAAUAAAGACAUGUGUCAUAGUGAGAAGCUCAUCGUCAUGCAUCGCCGUCGGCUCUCCCGUCCGUCGAACUUUAUGCAAAAACUUUCGCGAUGCUUGCUCUAGUACCACUGCUUGAUCUCCCGCAUGAUUUUAUCAUCAGAUCUUCUUGAUUAUCAUCGGAAUAAGCACUAGGAUCGUCCAAUCGUCGCCUAAACACAUUGAACAAAUUCCCGUCGACUUGAAAUUCCGUUCACAAAGGAAGACUUCACCUUAUACUUGCCGAGAUUUACAUCGGAAGGGAAGAUUGAUAACCUCAGUGAUUGAAACUUCAAGCAAUCGAUGAAACUCAGACUCGAUCCCCGUUGAAAUUCGACAUGCUGAAGAUUAGAUCCGAACGAAAGUCGGAAAUUGUUCUCCGUUAAACGGAAGUUUAUUAUCCGAUAUAUACGGAAGAAAAAAUCCGAUCACUUGAAUCGGAAGUUAGAGAGAAAAAUCACCCUCUCUCUCUCUGAAAGAUAAGAAAGAGAAAAGAGAGAGAAGGGAAAAAAACUCUCCUCACUAAAUUACAAAUUUUAGUAAGAUAUGU